Molecule: ribosomal RNA, 844 nt
Filed under: uncultured bacterium
Lineage: Bacteria
Description: bacterial SSU rRNA
Rfam family: Bacterial small subunit ribosomal RNA
Source: RNAcentral
AUUACACAUGCAAGUCGAACGCCCCGCAAGGGGAGUGGCAGACGGGUGAGUAACACGUGGGAACAUGCCCAAAGGUACGGAAUAUUCUCGGGAAACUGGGAGCAAUACCGUAUGUGCCCGAAAGGGGAAAGAUUUAUCGCCUUUGGAUUGGCCCGCGUUGGAUUAGCUAGUUGGCGGGGUAACGGCCCACCAAGCCUGCGAUCAGUAACUGGUGUGAGAGCACGACCAGUCACACGGGCACUGAGACACGGGCCCGACUCCUACGGGAGGCAGCAGUGGGGAAUAUUGGACAAUGGGCGCAAGCCUGAUCCAGCCAUGCCGCGUGGGUGAAGAAGGCCUUCGGGUUGUAAAGCCCUUUUGUCCGGAAAGAAAAGCACUGGAUUAAUACUUCGGUGUUCUGACGGUACCGGAAGAAUAAGCACCGGCUAACUUCGUGCCAGCAGCCGCGGUAAUACGAAGGGUGCAAGCGUUACUCGGAAUUACUGGGCGUAAAGCGUGCGUAGGUGGUUCGUUAAGUCUGAUGUGAAAGCCCUGGGCUCAACCUGGGAAUUGCAUUGGAUACUGGCGGGCUAGAGUGCGGUAGAGGAUGGCGGAAUUCCCGGUGUAGCAGUGAAAUGCGUAGAGAUCGGGAGGAACACCGAUGGCGUAGGCAAUCCCCUGGGCCUGUACUGACGCUCAUGCACGAAAGCGUGGGGAGCAAACAGGAUUAGAUACCCUGGUAGUCCACGCCCUAAACGAUGUCAACUGGUUGUUGGACGGCUUGCUGUUCAGUAACGAAGCUAACGUGUGAAGUUGACCGCCUGGGGAGUACGGCCGCAAGGUUGAAACUCAAAAGAAUUGACGG